AGAGAGAUGUCUCAUCAGCAUGUGACUGGCUCCACAUAUCAAAAUGUUAAGAAUUGGAGUCUAUUAAGUACCAUGCAAACACAUUCCAGCAUGAUGAAUGUUAGCCAGUAGGAUUGAAGCUUCUCGAUUGGAUUGGUGCCUAACCCAGUUGUCAUCAGAGAGGCUUCAGCCAACAACUGAUGGAAACAGAUGCAGAGACUCACAGCCAAACAUUAGGCAGAGCUUGGGAAAUCCUGCUGAAGAGGGGAAAGAAGGAUUGUAGGAGCCAGAAGAGUCAAGAAAACACACAGAAUCAACUAACCUUGGGUCACAGGAGCCCCCAGAGACUGACCCACCAACCACAGAGCCUGCAUGGGACUGACCUAGGUCCUCUGCACAUAUGCUACAGUUGUGUAGCUUGGUGUUUUUGUGAGACUCCUAACAGUAGGAGUAUGGGCUUUUUCUAACUCCUCUGCCUGCCUUCGAGACCUUAUCCUCCUACUGGGUUGUUUCAUCUACCCUUACUAGGAGAGGAGAUGCCUAGUCUUACUGUAACUCAAUAUGCCAUGGCUGGUUGAUAUCCAUGGGAGGCCUGACCCUUUCUGAAAAGAUGAGGAGUUAGGCAACAGGGACUAGGUGGAGAGGAGGGAGGAAAGACUGCAGUAAGGAUGUAAAAUAAAUAACGAAUAAGAUUUCGAAAGUCAAAUUACACACACUAAAAUGAAAUUUAGGUGAUUACAAGUUUUCUGUAGCACGCGGCAAACAUCCCUAGCUGGGGCAGUGGUUGUCACGUUUUUGUUUGUAUAGGCCUUUAAGAGAAAUUUUUUA
RNAcentral lists this long non-coding RNA (807 nucleotides) under Rattus norvegicus (Norway rat). Its description in RNAcentral is "long non-coding RNA NONRATT008874". The record is from RNAcentral. Lineage: Eukaryota; Metazoa; Chordata; Mammalia; Rodentia; Muridae.